This 468-nucleotide ribosomal RNA is filed under the name uncultured bacterium. Its description in RNAcentral is "partial 16S ribosomal RNA". It matches the Rfam family "Bacterial small subunit ribosomal RNA", at positions 28 to 507 of the family's 1533-position model. The record is from RNAcentral.
GACGAACGCUGGCGGCGUGCUUAACACAUGCAAGUCGAACGGAAAGGCCCUGCUUUUGUGGGGUGCUCGAGUGGCGAACGGGUGAGUAACACGUGAGUAACCUGCCCUUGACUUUGGGAUAACUUCAGGAGACUGGGGCUAAUACCGGAUAGGAACUCCUGCUGCAUGGUGGGGGUUGGAAAGUUUCGGCGGUUGGGGAUGGACUCGCGGCUUAUCAGCUUGUUGGUGGGGUAGUGGCUUACCAAGGCUUUGACGGGUAGCCGGCCUGAGAGGGUGACCGGCCACAUUGGGACUGAGAUACGGCCCAGACUCCUACGGGAGGCAGCAGUGGGGAAUAUUGCACAAUGGGCGGAAGCCUGAUGCAGCAACGCCGCGUGCGGGAUGACGGCCUUCGGGUUGUAAACCGCUUUCGCCUGUGACGAAGCGUGAGUGACGGUAAUGGGUAAAGAAGCACCGGCUAACUACGUG